Molecule: ribosomal RNA, 900 nt
Filed under: Prevotella melaninogenica
Lineage: Bacteria; Pseudomonadati; Bacteroidota; Bacteroidia; Bacteroidales; Prevotellaceae
Description: bacterial SSU rRNA
Rfam family: Bacterial small subunit ribosomal RNA
Source: RNAcentral
GAUGAACGCUAGCUACAGGCUUAACACAUGCAAGUCGAGGGGAAACGGCAUUAAGUGCUUGCACUUUUUGGACGUCGACCGGCGCACGGGUGAGUAACGCGUAUCCAACCUUCCCAUGACUAAGGGAUAACCUGCCGAAAGGCAGACUAAUACCUUAUGGUCUUCACUGACGGCAUCAGAUGUGAAGUAAAGAUUUAUCGGUUAUGGAUGGGGAUGCGUCUGAUUAGCUUGUUGGCGGGGUAACGGCCCACCAAGGCAACGAUCAGUAGGGGUUCUGAGAGGAAGGUCCCCCACAUUGGAACUGAGACACGGUCCAAACUCCUACGGGAGGCAGCAGUGAGGAAUAUUGGUCAAUGGGCGAGAGCCUGAACCAGCCAAGUAGCGUGCAGGAUGACGGCCCUAUGGGUUGUAAACUGCUUUUGUAUGGGGAUAAAGUCAGUCACGUGUGAUUGUUUGCAGGUACCAUACGAAUAAGGACCGGCUAAUUCCGUGCCAGCAGCCGCGGUAAUACGGAAGGUCCGGGCGUUAUCCGGAUUUAUUGGGUUUAAAGGGAGCGUAGGCUGGAGAUUAAGUGUGUUGUGAAAUGUAGACGCUCAACGUCUGACUUGCACGCAUACUGGUUUCCUUGACUACGCACAACGUUGGCGGAAUUCGUCGUGUAGGGUGAAUGCUUAGAUAAAACGAAGAACUCCGAUUGCGAAGGCAGCUGACGGGAGCGGGAGCUGACGCUGAACUCGAGGUGGGGGUAUCGAGAAGAAGUGAUACACAUUGAGUCAAAGAGGAAAUCCCAAGUGGAAGGGGAGCUGAUCGAUACCCCCCACCUGCAGGGAGGGGGGCGGGGCGGCGCCCUGGGGGGUGUACGGCGGGCUGCAGUGGUAUACCGAGGCGCAUUUAAAAAAG